RNAcentral lists this ribosomal RNA (253 nucleotides) under uncultured bacterium. RNAcentral describes it as "partial 16S ribosomal RNA". It matches the Rfam family "Bacterial small subunit ribosomal RNA", at positions 524 to 776 of the family's 1533-position model. The record is from RNAcentral.
UACGUAGGGUGCGAGCGUUAAUCGGAAUUACUGGGCGUAAAGCGUGCGCAGGCGGUUUUUUAAGUCAGAUGUGAAAUCCCCGGGCUUAACCUGGGAAUGGCAUUUGGGACUGCAAGGCUUGAGUUUGGCAGAGGAGACUGGAAUUCCUGGUGUAGCAGUGAAAUGCGUAGAUAUCAGGAGGAAUACCGAUGGCGAAGGCAGGUCUCUGGGCUAGAACUGACGCUCAUGCACGAAAGCGUGGGGAGCAAACAGG